GAUUCCCCUAGUAACUGCGAGUGAAGCGGGAAAAGCUCAAAUUUGAAAUCUGGCAGUCCUCUGGCUGUCCGAGUUGUAAACUAGAGAAGUGUUACCCGCGUUGGACCGUGUACAAGUCUCCUGGAAUGGAGCGUCAUAGAGGGUGAGAAUCCCGUCUUUGACACGGACUACCAAGGCUUUGUGGUACGCUCUCAAAGAGUCGAGUUGUUUGGGAAUGCAGCUCAAAAUGGGUGGUAAAUGCCAUCUAAAGCUAAAUAUUGGCGAGAGACCGAUAGCGAACAAGUACCGUGAGGGAAAGAUGAAAAGAACUUUGGAAAGAGAGUUAAACAGUACGUGAAAUUGCUGAAAGGGAAACGCUUAAAGUCAGUCGCGUCGGCUUGGAAUCAACCUUGCUUUUGCUGGGUGUACUUCCUUGUCGAUGGGUCAACAUCAGUUUUGACCGGUGGAUAAAGUCAGUCGGAAUGUGGCUCCCUCGGGAGUGUUAUAGCCUUCUGUCGCAUGCAUCGGUUGGGACUGAGGACCGCAGCACGCCGUUAAGGCCUGGUUUCGACCAAGUUCGUGCUUAGGAUGUUGGCAUAAUGGCUUUAAUCGACCCGUCUUGAAACACGGACCAAGGA
This 617-nucleotide ribosomal RNA is filed under the name Crepidotus appalachianensis. Its description in RNAcentral is "eukaryotic LSU rRNA". It matches the Rfam family "Eukaryotic large subunit ribosomal RNA", at positions 73 to 672 of the family's 3401-position model. The record is from RNAcentral. Lineage: Eukaryota; Fungi; Basidiomycota; Agaricomycetes; Agaricales; Crepidotaceae.